ACAAUGCUCAACCUUUCGUCGAGUAAUGCGGAGGAGUCAAGCCGAGUUCAAAAUAUUAUCCCGCCCCCAUCAAUGCCACAUUUUGGACCAACGAUGCUCUAUCCUCCGUCGAGUAAUGUGGAGGAGUUGGGACGAGUUCAAAAUAUUAUCCUCCCCCCAUCAAUUCCACAUUUUGGACCAACGAUGCUCAACCCUUCGUCGAGUAAUGCGGAGGAGUCGGGUCGGGUUGAAAAUAUUAUCCUGCCUCCAUCAAUGUCAUACCCUUCGUCGAGUAGUCCGAAGGUGUUGAGAAGAUCUGGAAUGACCACCCAACUAGCAAGUGAAUGAUCAAUUGUGCCAUUUACAUCUGAAAGUGAAAAAAUUUUGGAAAGUACAUCACACAUGACUGAUCAAAGCUGUCAUAUGAGUAACGAGGGAGAGGCCAAGGGGAUUGGGGCCGAGGGGACUAAUGAAAUAUCGAAUGAUGAAGGAGUUGAGGAGCCAAAACCUGGUAUGGAGUUUGCCACUGAUAAAAAGGUUAUGGCCUAUUACAAGCGAUAUGCCAAGCAACAAGGUUUUUGUGUUAUAACACAAAGGACAAAGAGAGAGGCAAAUGGGAGUGCCAAGUAUCUGACAAUU
Long non-coding RNA from Juglans microcarpa x Juglans regia, 618 nucleotides. RefSeq lists it as uncharacterized. The record is from RefSeq and is a predicted model, not a curated record. NCBI's taxonomy places the organism in Eukaryota, Viridiplantae, Streptophyta, Magnoliopsida, Fagales, Juglandaceae. The transcript has 5 exons.